RNAcentral lists this long non-coding RNA (2993 nucleotides) under Homo sapiens (human). RNAcentral describes it as "HSALNT0111759". Lineage: Eukaryota; Metazoa; Chordata; Mammalia; Primates; Hominidae. The record is from RNAcentral.
GUUGUAAUUUUCCUGACUCUCUGCCACUGGGUAUUAUUUAGCCAAGGAGGUGAUCAGUCUUUGAGUAGGUUUCAAAUACAAAGAAGAAGCAGAAUGUAGUGUAUGUAAUCUCAAAUUUGCCCAUUGAUUUCACAGAUUCCUAGGUCCGUUUCUGAGUGCCGCACUUCACUUCAGGAGGGAACAAGACAGAAUAAAACAAGCAUGUAAUAUGAGGAAAUGUGCUGCUUGGUGAGAAAGAAAGUUUGAUCGUUACUGGAGCUGUUCAAGGUGAGUCAAGUUAGCUGACUUCUAGUUGGAAAUACAUUUUAUAAUGGUUUAGAAAAUCCUUUGCCAAUAAUUCCAAGUUGAUAGAAAAAAAAUGACUUUUCUUUUUUGUAAUUGCAUAUUUGCACAAAUUCCAGAAGACCUGAAUUCAUAGGUGAAAAUUUCAUUUUGUUCAUAGUACUAAAAACCAUAUAGAUGAGUGAUUUAAAACAUAAUAUGGGAACAAAAAAGCCAUCCUCUGGUCAGGGCACUGGGUCUGCAUUAAACACAGCAGGGCCCUGGUGAACAUUUAAAGCCCUCAGUGGGAAGUGAUUAUCUUUCUACUCUCUAGGUUUGCCUGAAAUUACCCAGUCUUGUCCAUGCUGAGUCCUGAGUGUUAAGGGAAAUUAAUUGAUGGUUUAAUAAGUGAGAAAUGAAAAGAGAGUUAUAUUCUGCUGUGCUAAAUUUUAAAUAGAGUUUCAUUUUCUUGUAGUGUCCAUUAACUUAUAUUCACCUAGAAUGCGAAUUACUUAGGUUGUAAUUUGAGACCUAAUUAGAGUAAAACAAUUUAUCUUAUUGCUGUUGAGAAUUCUUUACCAGGUACUCUUAGCAGCAUAAAUUUUGAAAAUGGUUAAACUAGGAAAUUCUGGCAACCCAUUUAUUUAUGUCUUAAUGAGAGAAAGGAAAGAGAGAGAGAGAGAGAGGCAGAAAGGGAAAGAGAGAGAGAAGAAAUAACACCACAAAUUUUAACACAUAGAAAGAGAACAGGGGGACACAUAAAAUAUCAAUCAUAAAAGGUCUAUGGAGUUCUUUUUAAAAUGUCUCUUCCUAAGUUUUUCAUGCACAUGCUUAAGAGUCAGCACCAUAAAAGCAAAAGCAUAAUGGAUAGUAAAGUAUGGGACUUGUUUCCCUUUAGUUAUAAAGGGGAUACAUGUUGUAUUUUCCUAUGUCAGAAACUAUUAUUUAAUUAUUUUUUUAAAAAAAUUUAAUGGCCAGAAUUAGAGUUUCUAGAGAAACUCAAAGACAAUAGAAAAGACAAAAACAGGAACACUCAAGGAAAUGUUAGCUUCUAGUAUCUGCAGCUACAGGCAAGUAAUAAAUGUAGCCUAACUCCUAGCCAGAUAAACCUAAAUCCUCACACUUAGGUCUAUUUAACUCAGUUUCUUUCACCCAAUUCAUCCUGUUCAAAUUGCAAAAAAAAAAUUACAACACAUGCUGAAACACAAAAGACACAUACGUUGAAGAGACACAGCGAGCGUCAGAUCCAGAUUCAGAAACAGCAGAGAUUUGGGAACGAUCAGACUGGAAAUGUUAAAUAAAUAUGACUAAUAUGCUAAGAACUCUAAUGGAAAAAGUAGACAAAAUGCAGGAGCAGAUGAAUGAUAUAAACAGAGAAUUAAAAAUUCUAAGAAAGUACAGAAAUGAAAUGCUAAACACUGAAAAUCAAAAGGAGCAAAAGGAAACAAAACAAAACAAAUGGUAACCAAAAACACUGAAAGAGAAAAUAAGAGUUGUUUUGAGGGAGUCAUCAGUAGUCCGGACACAGCUGAUGAAAGAAUCAGUGAGCCUGAAGAUACGAUGAUGGAAACUUCUCAAAUUGAAAGGCGAAGAAAAAAAAAAUGAAAAAAAAAAAAAAAAGGAAUAGAAUAUCCAAGAACUGUGGGAUAAUUACAAAAGAGAAUACACAAAGAAAAAACAGACAAAGAAGCAGAAUAUUUGAGGUAAUAAUGGCUGAGAAUUUCUGAAAUUAAUAACAGAUAUCAAAUCACAGAAACAAGGAGCUCAGAGAACACUGAGAGAGGUAAAUACCAAAAAAUCUACACCUAGGCCUGUCGUUAGAAAAUCAAAGACAAGGGCUGGGUGCGGUGGCUCAUGCCUGUAAUCCCAGCACUUUGGGAGGCCGAUGCGGGUGGAUCAUGAGGUCAGGAGAUGGAGACCAUCCUGGCUAACACGGUGAAACCCCGUCUCUACUAAAAAUACAAAAAAUUAGCCGGGCGUGGUGGCGGGCGCCUGUAGUCCCAACUGCUGGGGAGGCUGAGGCAGGAGAAUGGCGUGAACCCGGAGGCGGAGCUUGCAGUGAGCCGAGAUUGUGCCACUGCACUCCAGCCUGGGUGACAGAGGAAGACUCUGUCUCAAAAAAUAAAAUAAAAUAAAAUAAAAUAAAAUAAAAUAAAAUAAAAUAAAAUAAAAUAAAAUAAUAUAAAAUAAAAUAAAUAAAACAAAAUAAUAUAAUUUAAAAAUUUUUAAAAAUUAAAAAAAUAAAAAAAAAUCAAAGAGCAAAUCUUGAAAGAAGCUGGAGAAAAGGAAAACCAUACCUCUAACGGAAUUUGCCUUCAGAAACCAUACAAUUAAGAAGAAAGCAGAGAGAAAUAUUUAACAGUUGAAAGAAAAAAAAAAGGCCACUAACCUAGAAUUCUUUAUCUAGUGAAAUUAUUCUUUAAAAGUAAAGGGCAAAUACUUUCUUAGUCAAAUAAAAAUUCAGGAAUUUUGUUGCCAGAAAGAAAUGUUUAAAGAUGCUCUUCAGAGAGGAGAAAGUGAUAUGGAUCAGAAACUUGUAUCUGCAUAAAGAAAGGAAUAAUGUUAGGGAAGGAAUAAACAAAGGUAAAAUAAAAUCAUUAAAAAAUGUGUACUGAGUGAUUAUUGCUUCUGGAUAAGUGAAAGGAAUGACAACAAUAUUAUGAGGGAAAGAGGGAUGAAUUGAAGUGCUCUGUUUUAAAGUACCUGCGUCACCCAUAAACUGUUCUUUGAAA